RNAcentral lists this ribosomal RNA (446 nucleotides) under uncultured bacterium. Its description in RNAcentral is "partial 16S ribosomal RNA". It matches the Rfam family "Bacterial small subunit ribosomal RNA", at positions 29 to 522 of the family's 1533-position model. The record is from RNAcentral.
AGUGAACGCUGGCGGCAGGCCUAACACAUGCAAGUCGAACGCACCGCAAGGUGAGUGGCAGACGGGUGAGUAACGCGUGGGAAUUUUCCCUUCAGUACAGGAUAGCCCCGGGAAACUGGGAUUAAUACUGUAUAUUAUCUACGGAUGAAAGAUUUAUCGCUGAAGGAUAAGCCCGCGUAAGAUUAGCUAGUUGGUGAGGUAAUGGCUCACCAAGGCUGUGAUCUUUAGCUGGUCUGAGAGGAUGAUCAGCCACACUGGAACUGAGACACGGUCCAGACUCCUACGGGAGGCAGCAGUGAGGAAUAUUGGACAAUGGAGGCAACUCUGAUCCAGCCAUGCCGCGUGAAUGAUGAAGGCCCUAGGGUUGUAAAGUUCUUUAAGUUGGGAAAAUAAUGAUGGUACCAACAGAAUAAGCUCCGGCUAACUUCGUGCCAGCAGCCGCGGUA